Balaenoptera musculus (blue whale) is the source of this 2525-nucleotide RNA transcript. It is a transcript of the gene named tRNA nucleotidyl transferase 1, with no coding region annotated. The record is from RefSeq and is a predicted model, not a curated record. The transcript has 10 exons. Lineage: Eukaryota; Metazoa; Chordata; Mammalia; Artiodactyla; Balaenopteridae.
GACGGCGCAGCGGGGCCGGUGCGUGGUUGGUGACUUUCUCUCCAGAUGCUAAGGUGCCUGGAUCCCUGGCGCAGGCAGUUGCUGAGCUGCAGCUGGAGUAGACUGUGCCUUCUGAAGCACUCUCUGUUUACAAUGAAGUUGCAAUCUCCAGAGUUCCAGUCACUUUUCACAGAAGGCUUGAAGAGUCUGACAGAAUUAUUCAUCAAAGAAAAUCAUGAGUUAAGAAUAGCAGGAGGAGCAGUGAGGGAUUUAUUAAGUGGAGUAAAGCCACAGGAUGUGGAUUUUGCUACCACUGCUACCCCUGCUCAAAUGAAGGAGCUGUUUCAGUCGGUCGGCGUUCGUAUGAUCAACAACAAAGGAGAAAAGCACGGGACGAUCACUGCCAGGCUUCAUGAAGAAAAUUUUGAAAUUACUACAUUACGGAUUGACGUUGCCACUGAUGGAAGACAUGCUGAGGUCGAAUUCACAACUGACUGGCAGAAAGAUGCUGAACGCAGAGAUCUCACUAUAAAUUCUAUGUUUUUAGGUUUCGAUGGUACUUUAUUUGACUACUUUAAUGGUUAUGAAGAUUUAAAAAAUAAGAAAGUUAGAUUUGUUGGACAAGCUAAACAGAGGAUACAAGAAGAUUAUCUUCGAAUUUUAAGAUAUUUCAGGUUUUAUGGGAAAAUUGUAGAUACACCUGGUGACCACGAUCCUGAGACUUUGGAAGCAAUUGCAGAAAAUGCAAAAGGCUUGGCUGGAAUAUCAGGAGAGAGGAUUUGGGUGGAACUGAAAAAAAUUCUUACUAGUAACCACGUACAUCAUUUGAUUCACCUCAUCUAUGACCUUGAUGUGGCUCCUUACAUAGGCUUACCUGCUAAUGCAAGUUUAGAAGAAUUUAACAAAGUCAGUAAAAAUGUUGAAGGUUUUUCCCCAAAGCCAAUGACUCUCUUGACCUCACUGUUCAAAGUACAGGAUGAUGUCACAAAAUUGGAUCUGAGGUUGAAGAUUUCAAAAGAAGAGAAGAAUCUCGGUUUAUUUAUAGUUAAAAACAGGAAAGAUUUAAUUAAAGCAACAGAUAGUUCAGAACCUUUGAAACCCUAUCAAGACUUCAUUAUAGAUUCUAGAGAAUCUGAUGCAACUGCUCGUGUGUGUGAACUCCUCAAGUACCAAGGAGAGCACGGUCUUCUGAAGGAGAUGCAGCAGUGGUCCAUUCCUCCAUUUCCUGUAAGUGGCCAUGACAUCAGAAAAGUGGGCAUUUCUUCUGGAAAAGAAAUUGGGGCUCUCUUACAGCAGUUGAGAGAACAGUGGAAGAAAAGUGGUUACCAAAUGGAAAAAGAUGAACUGCUAAGUUACAUAAAGAAGACCUAAAAUUGAUGAGAGCUGGCUACGAAAAAAGCAGAAACGUUUUGCCACUCAUAGCAUCUUUGUGCGCUACUGGCAAAUAGCAAUUUUGGACCUUGAUAAAACAAUUUUGAAAAGCAUAUUUCUGUUAAAGCCCCGCUAAGAGGAAGUGUGACAGACAAACACUCAGUGUACAAACAGGGGCUAUGUUGCAAGAAAGGGAGCCUCAGAAACGACUGCACACAGGCAAAACCAAAAAAAAGUGACCACCACCACAUUACCCAGGAAACCAGCUGUGCUCUGUAGAAGGCCGGCCGAUCAGAUUCAAGUUGCAAGCCUUAUACACGGUAAGCGUCUCAUGCACGUAUCCGUGAGGAUUCACAUAAGCUGCCAUCGGCCCACAUAAGGAUAAACUAAAACAGAGAAUCAGCACAGAGGAUAAGUCAAGUCAAAACGGGGUGGGGUGGAAAUAACAUAUUUUAAAAGUUCACCAAGAAACAAGGUUCUAAGAGCUAUAGUUUUUAACCUUUUAGUUAAAACUAAUAAUAAUAAGAGGUUGGCAGUCAGCCUAGUUUUAUUUGGUCUAAAUGUUUUUCCAUGAUGACAAAAAGGAAAAAAUACUGCUAGUUUUUAAAAUCUUCCUCAAGAUAGACAUUGUAAAAUAUAUGGACUCAACUUCCCCUAAAGGAGCCUGAGAGGGGAAGGCCAAUGACAAGUUUCCACUUGGUCAUUCUUGGGCAUCUGAGUACUCUGCAAACAGCAGUUCUUCCCUUCUUGAUUUAUAAUGACUUUUUGUCAGAAAAGCAUCAGUACAUGUUCAGAAGCAUGUCCUCCUUUAUCUUUGACGCUAUGUGGCGAAACUGAUAUUUGAGUGAAAUAUCAUGGUAGGUAGGCACUAAGAAGAUAUCCUCUAAUUGACAGAUUUUCAACAAGGAGGUGGGGGUGGGGGAGGAGAGAACUGCUCAGCUGUUUUACUUCACCAUGCUCAUUACCUAUGAAAAAUCCCUUACAUACCCCCCACUGUUGUUCUGGCCAACAUGGAGUUAAUUCCCCCCUAUUUCAUUUGCUGAGUAUUUGUAAUUUAAUGGAGGGAAAUAUAUGGAGAACCGAAAUACGGUCUUGCCUGUAAUUCUGUUAUGGCAGUUGGAAAAACGUAUUCAGAUCUAUACUAAAAAUGUAAUAAAGAUCUCACCUGAAUAUUU